This 497-nucleotide ribosomal RNA is filed under the name uncultured bacterium. Its description in RNAcentral is "partial 16S ribosomal RNA". It matches the Rfam family "Bacterial small subunit ribosomal RNA", at positions 28 to 507 of the family's 1533-position model. The record is from RNAcentral.
GAUGAACGCUGGCGGCGUGCCUAAUACAUGCAAGUCGAGCGAACAGAUGAGGAGCUUGCUCCUCUGACGUUAGCGGCGGACGGGUGAGUAACACGUGGAUAACCUACCUAUAAGACUGGGAUAACUUCGGGAAACCGGAGCUAAUACCGGAUAAUAUAUUGAACCGCAUGGUUCAAUAGUGAAAGACGGUUUUGCUGUCACUUAUAGAUGGAUCCGCGCCGCAUUAGCUAGUUGGUAAGGUAACGGCUUACCAAGGCAACGAUGCGUAGCCGACCUGAGAGGGUGAUCGGCAACACUGGAACUUAGACACGGUCCAGACUCCUACGGGAGGCAGCAGUAGGGAAUCUUCCGCAAAGGGCGAAAGCCUGACGGAGCAACGCCGCGUGAGUGAUGAAGGUCUUCGGAUCGUAAAACUCUGUUAUUAGGGAAGAACAAAUGUGUAAGUAACUAUGCACGUCUUGACGGUACCUAAUCAGAAAGCCACGGCUAACUACGUG